GAGAAAGCUUGCUUUCUUGCUGACGAGCGGCGGACGGGUGAGUAAUGUAUGGGGAUCUGCCCGAUAGAGGGGGAUAACUACUGGAAACGGUGGCUAAUACCGCAUAAUGUCUACGGACCAAAGCAGGGGCUCUUCGGACCUUGCACUAUCGGAUGAACCCAUAUGGGAUUAGCUAGUAGGUGGGGUAAAGGCUCACCUAGGCGACGAUCUCUAGCUGGUCUGAGAGGAUGAUCAGCCACACUGGGACUGAGACACGGCCCAGACUCCUACGGGAGGCGGCAGUGGGGAAUAUUGCACAAUGGGCGCAAGCCUGAUGCAGCCAUGCCGCGUGUAUGAAGAAGGCCUUAGGGUUGUAAAGUACUUUCAGCGGGGAGGAAGGUGAUAAGGUUAAUACCCUUGUCAAUUGACGUACCCGCAGAAGAGCUCCGCA
Molecule: ribosomal RNA, 430 nt
Filed under: Proteus mirabilis
Lineage: Bacteria; Pseudomonadati; Pseudomonadota; Gammaproteobacteria; Enterobacterales; Morganellaceae
Description: bacterial SSU rRNA
Rfam family: Bacterial small subunit ribosomal RNA
Source: RNAcentral